This 73-nucleotide transfer RNA is filed under the name Chitinophagaceae bacterium. RNAcentral's name for it is "tRNA-Lys". It matches the Rfam family "tRNA". From Rfam's summary of the family: Transfer RNA (tRNA) molecules are approximately 80 nucleotides in length. Their secondary structure includes four short double-helical elements and three loops (D, anti-codon, and T loops). Lineage: Bacteria; Pseudomonadati; Bacteroidota; Chitinophagia; Chitinophagales; Chitinophagaceae. The record is from RNAcentral.
GACCUCGUAGCUCAGCUGGUAGAGCAUAACACUUUUAAUGUUAGGGCCCUGGGUUCGAGUCCCAGCGGGGUCA